GAAAACGAAGCAAGGCAUUUCUACCCAAAGCCAUAAAAUGGCUAAGUAUGAAGUUAUGGCUAAGUAUGAAGUUCUAUAGAAGCGGAUUGCCAAAGAAACGAAGAAGGAACAAAGAUGGACGAGACUUCAUCAAUUCUGUCGACGGUCGGUCGAGAAAAUAUGACCUUUGCCCGAUUCAAUGCAUCUGCACUCGACAGCAUUGACACGUGACGAUAUCCAACAAUAAAAGCAGAGAAAAUCUCAAGCAAAGAUUUGGGAGAAGAUGCAAUGGACGAAAUCCAACAAGAUCCUUGUUUUUUCCAUGACUGCCACGUGUCCGACAACCAAUGAAAUGCUUGUCUCGCC
Molecule: long non-coding RNA, 345 nt
Filed under: Capsella rubella
Lineage: Eukaryota; Viridiplantae; Streptophyta; Magnoliopsida; Brassicales; Brassicaceae
Description: long non-coding RNA (CRUB_LNC002594)
Source: RNAcentral